CCUACGGGAGGCAGCAGUGGGGAAUAUUGCGCAAUGGGCGAAAGCCUGACGCAGCGACGCCGCGUGAGGGAUGAAGGUCUUCGGAUCGUAAACCUCUGUCAGCAGGGAAGAACGGUCACUGUGCUAAUCAGCAGUGAAUUGACGGUACCUGCAAAGGAAGCACCGGCUAACUCCGUGCCAGCAGCCGCGGUAAGACGGCGGGUGCGAGCGAUAAUCGGAAUUACUGGGCGUAAAGCGCUCGUAGGCGGUAUGUCAAGUCAAGGGUGAAAUCCCCGCGCUCAACGGGGGAACUGCCUUUGAAACUGGCAAACUUGAGUGUGUGGAAGGAUAGUGGAAUUCGAGGUGUAGGAGUGAAAUCCGUAGAUAUCUGGAGGAACAUCAGUGGCGAAGGCGACUAUCUGGCACAUAACUGACGCUGAGGAGCGAAAGCGUGGGUAGCAAACAGGAUUAGAUACCCGUGUAGUC
This 465-nucleotide ribosomal RNA is filed under the name uncultured bacterium. RNAcentral describes it as "partial 16S ribosomal RNA". It matches the Rfam family "Bacterial small subunit ribosomal RNA", at positions 338 to 795 of the family's 1533-position model. The record is from RNAcentral.